This 22-nucleotide non-coding RNA is filed under the name Arabidopsis thaliana (thale cress). The record is from RNAcentral. Lineage: Eukaryota; Viridiplantae; Streptophyta; Magnoliopsida; Brassicales; Brassicaceae.
UUUGUAAUUCUCAGUUCGGGUA